Molecule: transfer RNA, 66 nt
Filed under: Psychomyia pusilla
Lineage: Eukaryota; Metazoa; Arthropoda; Insecta; Trichoptera; Psychomyiidae
Description: tRNA-Phe
Source: RNAcentral
AUUUAAAUAGCUUAUAUAGAGUUUAAUAUUGAAGAUAUUAAGGAAAUUUUUUUAAAUUUUUAAAUA